This 307-nucleotide ribosomal RNA is filed under the name uncultured bacterium. Its description in RNAcentral is "bacterial SSU rRNA". It matches the Rfam family "Bacterial small subunit ribosomal RNA", at positions 29 to 330 of the family's 1533-position model. The record is from RNAcentral.
AUUGAACGCUGGCGGAAUGCUUUACACAUGCAAGUCGAGCGGCAGCGCGGGGGCGAACCCUGGCGGCGAGCGGCGAACGGGUGAGUAAUACAUCGGAACGUGUCCUUAAGUGGGGGAGUAGCUCGGCGAAAGACCGGGAUUAAUACCGCAUAAGCUCUGAGGAGGAAAGGCGGGGCGUCCGUAAGGACCUCGCGCUGUUGGAGCGGCCGAUGUCGGAUUAGCUAGUUGGUGGGGUAAAGGCCCACCAAGGCGACGAUCCGUAGCUGGUCUGAGAGGAUGAUCAGCCACACUGGAACUGAGACACGGU